This 670-nucleotide ribosomal RNA is filed under the name uncultured Enterococcus sp. Its description in RNAcentral is "bacterial SSU rRNA". It matches the Rfam family "Bacterial small subunit ribosomal RNA", at positions 28 to 669 of the family's 1533-position model. The record is from RNAcentral. Lineage: Bacteria; Bacillati; Bacillota; Bacilli; Lactobacillales; Enterococcaceae.
GACGAACGCUGGCGGCGUGCCUAAUACAUGCAAGUCGAACGCUUCUUUUUCCACCGGAGCUUGCUCCACCGGAAAAAGAGGAGUGGCGAACGGGUGAGUAACACGUGGGUAACCUGCCCAUCAGAAGGGGAUAACACUUGGAAACAGGUGCUAAUACCGUAUAACAAUCAAAACCGCAUGGUUUUGAUUUGAAAGGCGCUUUCGGGUGUCGCUGAUGGAUGGACCCGCGGUGCAUUAGCUAGUUGGUGAGGUAACGGCUCACCAAGGCCACGAUGCAUAGCCGACCUGAGAGGGUGAUCGGCCACAUUGGGACUGAGACACGGCCCAAACUCCUACGGGAGGCAGCAGUAGGGAAUCUUCGGCAAUGGACGAAAGUCUGACCGAGCAACGCCGCGUGAGUGAAGAAGGUUUUCGGAUCGUAAAACUCUGUUGUUAGAGAAGAACAAGGAUGAGAGUAACUGUUCAUCCCUUGACGGUAUCUAACCAGAAAGCCACGGCUAACUACGUGCCAGCAGCCGCGGUAAUACGUAGGUGGCAAGCGUUGUCCGGAUUUAUUGGGCGUAAAGCGAGCGCAGGCGGUUUCUUAAGUCUGAUGUGAAAGCCCCCGGCUCAACCGGGGAGGGUCAUUGGAAACUGGGAGACUUGAGUGCAGAAGAGGAGAGUGGAAUUC